AAAAAAGGUAAGCUACUAAGAGCGAAUGGUGGAUGCCUUGACUGGUAAAGGCGAUGAAGGACGUACUAGACUGCGAUAAGCUACGGGGAGCUGUCAAGAAGCUUUGAUCCGUAGAUUUCCGAAUGGGGCAACCCAAUGUAUAGAGAUAUACAUUACCUAUAUAGGAGCGAACGAGGGGAAUUGAAACAUCUUAGUACCCUCAGGAAAAGAAAUCAAUAGAGAUUGCGUCAGUAGCGGCGAGCGAAAGCGCAAGAGGGCAAACCCAGUGCUUGCACUGGGGGUUGUAGGACUGCAAUGUGCAAGAGGUGAGUUUAGCAGAACAUUCUGGAAAGUAUAGCCAUAGAGGGUGAUAGUCCCGUAUGCGAAAAACAAACCUUAGCUAGCAGUAUCCUGAGUAGGGCGGGACACGAGAAAUCCUGUCUGAAGCUGGGUCGACCACGAUCCAACCCUAAAUACUAAUACCAGAUCGAUAGUGCACAAGUACCGUGAGGGAAAGGUGAAAAGAACUGAGGUGAUCAGAGUGAAAUAGAACCUGAAACCAUUUGCUUACAAUCAUUCAGAGCCCUAUGUAGCAAUACAGGGUGAUGGACUGCCUUUUGCAUAAUGAGCCUGCGAGUUGUGGUGUCUGGCAAGGUUAAGCAAACGCGAAGCCGUAGCGAAAGCGAGUCUGAAUAGGGCGCUUAGUCAGAUGCUGCAGACCCGAAACGAAGUGAUCUAUCCAUGAGCAAGUUGAAGCUAGUGUAAGAACUAGUGGAGGACUGAACCCAUAGGCGUUGAAAAGCCCCGGGAUGACUUGUGGAUAGGGGUGAAAGGCCAAUCAAACUUCGUGAUAGCUGGUUCUCUCCGAAAUAUAUUUAGGUAUAGCGUUGUGUCGUAAUAUAAGGGGGUAGAGCACUGAAUGGGCUAGGGCAUACACCAAUGUACCAAACCCUAUCAAACUCCGAAUACCUUAUAUGUAAUCACAGCAGUCAGGCGGCGAGUGAUAAAAUCCGUCGUCAAGAGGGAAACAACCCAGACUACCAGCUAAGGUCCCUAAAUCUUACUUAAGUGGAAAACGAUGUGAAGUUACUUAAACAACCAGGAGGUUGGCUUAGAAGCAGCCAUCCUUUAAAGAAAGCGUAAUAGCUCACUGGUCUAGUGAUUUUGCGCGGAAAAUAUAACGGGGCUAAAGUAAGUACCGAAGCUGUAGACUUGCGCACAACUUAGAUUAUUUAAGUUUAGAAUAUGAGAAACUAAGUUAUAUGUUUAGUUAUAUUUUUACUGAUUUUUAUAGAGUAAAGAUAGAAAUAAAACUUAGUAAAAUCAGUAAAAAUAUUCUUAGACUAAAGUUAAGUAGUUUAAGUUGUGUGCAAGUGGUAGGAGAGCGUUCUAUUUGCGUCGAAGGUAUACCGGUAAGGAGUGCUGGAGCGAAUAGAAGUGAGCAUGCAGGCAUGAGUAGCGAUAAUUAAUGUGAGAAUCAUUAACGCCGUAAACCCAAGGUUUCCUACGCGAUGCUCGUCAUCGUAGGGUUAGUCGGGUCCUAAGUCGAGUCCGAAAGGGGUAGACGAUGGCAAAUUGGUUAAUAUUCCAAUACCAACAUUAGUGUGCGAUGGAAGGACGCUUAGGGCUAAGGGGGCUAGCGGAUGGAAGUGCUAGUCUAAGGUCGUAGGAGGUUAUACAGGCAAAUCCGUAUAACAAUACUCCGAGAACUGAAAGGCUUUUUGAAGUCUUCGGAUGGAUAGAAGAACCCCUGAUGCCGUCGAGCCAAGAAAAGUUUCUAAGUUUAGCUAAUGUUGCCCGUACCGUAAACCGACACAGGUGGGUGGGAUGAGUAUUCUAAGGCGCGUGGAAGAACUCUCUUUAAGGAACUCUGCAAAAUAGCACCGUAUCUUCGGUAUAAGG
This 1881-nucleotide ribosomal RNA is filed under the name Campylobacter coli. Its description in RNAcentral is "partial 23S ribosomal RNA". It matches the Rfam family "Bacterial large subunit ribosomal RNA", at positions 1 to 1746 of the family's 2925-position model. Lineage: Bacteria; Pseudomonadati; Campylobacterota; Epsilonproteobacteria; Campylobacterales; Campylobacteraceae. The record is from RNAcentral.